This 442-nucleotide ribosomal RNA is filed under the name uncultured bacterium. RNAcentral's name for it is "partial 16S ribosomal RNA". It matches the Rfam family "Bacterial small subunit ribosomal RNA", at positions 338 to 795 of the family's 1533-position model. The record is from RNAcentral.
CCUACGGGUGGCAGCAGUGGGGAAUAUUGGGCAAUGGGCGCAAGCCUGACCCAGCAACGCCGCGUGAAGGAAGAAGGCUUUCGGGUUGUAAACUUCUUUUAAGAGGGAAGAGCAGAAGACGGUACCUCUUGAAUAAGCCACGGCUAACUACGUGCCAGCAGCCGCGGUAAUACGUAGGUGGCAAGCGUUGUCCGGAUUUACUGGGUGUAAAGGGCGUGUAGCCGGGCUGACAAGUCAGAUGUGAAAUUCCGGGGCUCAACCCCGGACCUGCAUUUGAAACUGUUGGUCUUGAGUAUCGGAGGGGCAGGAGGAAUUCCGAGUGUAGCGGUGAAAUGCGUAGAUAUUAGGAGGAACACGAGGGGCGAAGGCGGCCUGCUGGACGACAACUGACGGUGAGGCGCGAAGGCGUGGGGAGCAAACAGGAUUAGAUACCCUAGUAGUC